UUAAGCGACUAAGCGUACACGGUGGAUGCCCUGGCAGUCAGAGGCGAUGAAGGACGUGCUAAUCUGCGAUAAGCGUCGGUAAGGUGAUAUGAACCGUUAUAACCGGCGAUUUCCGAAUGGGGAAACCCAGUGUGUUUCGACACACUAUCAUUAACUGAAUCCAUAGGUUAAUGAGGCGAACCGGGGGAACUGAAACAUCUAAGUACCCCGAGGAAAAGAAAUCAACCGAGAUUCCCCCAGUAGCGGCGAGCGAACGGGGAGCAGCCCAGAGCCUGAAUCAGUGUGUGUGUUAGUGGAAGCGUCUGGAAAGGCGCGCGAUACAGGGUGACAGCCCCGUACACAAAAAUGCACAUGCUGUGAGCUCGAUGAGUAGGGCGGGACACGUGGUAUCCUGUCUGAAUAUGGGGGGACCAUCCUCCAAGGCUAAAUACUCCUGACUGACCGAUAGUGAACCAGUACCGUGAGGGAAAGGCGAAAAGAACCCCGGCGAGGGGAGUGAAAAAGAACCUGAAACCGUGUACGUACAAGCAGUGGGAGCACGCUUAGGCGUGUGACUGCGUACCUUUUGUAUAAUGGGUCAGCGACUUAUAUUCUGUAGCAAGGUUAACCGAAUAGGGGAGCCGAAGGGAAACCGAGUCUUAACUGGGCGUUAAGUUGCAGGGUAUAGACCCGAAACCCGGUGAUCUAGCCAUGGGCAGGUUGAAGGUUGGGUAACACUAACUGGAGGACCGAACCGACUAAUGUUGAAAAAUUAGCGGAUGACUUGUGGCUGGGGGUGAAAGGCCAAUCAAACCGGGAGAUAGCUGGUUCUCCCCGAAAGCUAUUUAGGUAGCGCCUCGUGAAUUCAUCUCCGGGGGUAGAGCACUGUUUCGGCAAGGGGGUCAUCCCGACUUACCAACCCGAUGCAAACUGCGAAUACCGGAGAAUGUUAUCACGGGAGACACACGGCGGGUGCUAACGUCCGUCGUGAAGAGGGAAACAACCCAGACCGCCAGCUAAGGUCCCAAAGUCAUGGUUAAGUGGGAAACGAUGUGGGAAGGCCCAGACAGCCAGGAUGUUGGCUUAGAAGCAGCCAUCAUUUAAAGAAAGCGUAAUAGCUCACUGGUCGAGUCGGCCUGCGCGGAAGAUGUAACGGGGCUAAACCAUGCACCGAAGCUGCGGCAGCGACGCUGAUGCGUUGUUGGGUAGGGGAGCGUUCUGUAAGCCUGUGAAGGUGUGCUGUGAGGCAUGCUGGAGGUAUCAGAAGUGCGAAUGCUGACAUAAGUAACGAUAAAGCGGGUGAAAAGCCCGCUCGCCGGAAGACCAAGGGUUCCUGUCCAACGUUAAUCGGGGCAGGGUGAGUCGACCCCUAAGGCGAGGCCGAAAGGCGUAGUCGAUGGGAAACAGGUUAAUAUUCCUGUACUUGGUGUUACUGCGAAGGGGGGACGGAGAAGGCUAUGUUGGCCGGGCGACGGUUGUCCCGGUUUAAGCGUGUAGGCUGGUUUUCCAGGCAAAUCCGGAAAAUCAAGGCUGAGGCGUGAUGACGAGGCACUACGGUGCUGAAGCAACAAAUGCCCUGCUUCCAGGAAAAGCCUCUAAGCAUCAGGUAACAUCAAAUCGUACCCCAAACCGACACAGGUGGUCAGGUAGAGAAUACCAAGGCGCUUGAGAGAACUCGGGUGAAGGAACUAGGCAAAAUGGUGCCGUAACUUCGGGAGAAGGCACGCUGAUAUGUAGGUGAAGUCCCUCGCGGAUGGAGCUGAAAUCAGUCGAAGAUACCAGCUGGCUGCAACUGUUUAUUAAAAACACAGCACUGUGCAAACACGAAAGUGGACGUAUACGGUGUGACGCCUGCCCGGUGCCGGAAGGUUAAUUGAUGGGGUUAGCGCAAGCGAAGCUCUUGAUCGAAGCCCCGGUAAACGGCGGCCGUAACUAUAACGGUCCUAAGGUAGCGAAAUUCCUUGUCGGGUAAGUUCCGACCUGCACGAAUGGCGUAAUGAUGGCCAGGCUGUCUCCACCCGAGACUCAGUGAAAUUGAACUCGCUGUGAAGAUGCAGUGUACCCGCGGCAAGACGGAAAGACCCCGUGAACCUUUACUAUAGCUUGACACUGAACAUUGAGCCUUGAUGUGUAGGAUAGGUGGGAGGCUUUGAAGUGUGGACGCCAGUCUGCAUGGAGCCGACCUUGAAAUACCACCCUUUAAUGUUUGAUGUUCUAACGUGGACCCGUAAUCCGGGUUGCGGACAGUGUCUGGUGGGUAGUUUGACUGGGGCGGUCUCCUCCUAAAGAGUAACGGAGGAGCACGAAGGUUGGCUAAUCCUGGUCGGACAUCAGGAGGUUAGUGCAAUGGCAUAAGCCAGCUUGACUGCGAGCGUGACGGCGCGAGCAGGUGCGAAAGCAGGUCAUAGUGAUCCGGUGGUUCUGAAUGGAAGGGCCAUCGCUCAACGGAUAAAAGGUACUCCGGGGAUAACAGGCUGAUACCGCCCAAGAGUUCAUAUCGACGGCGGUGUUUGGCACCUCGAUGUCGGCUCAUCACAUCCUGGGGCUGAAGUAGGUCCCAAGGGUAUGGCUGUUCGCCAUUUAAAGUGGUACGCGAGCUGGGUUUAGAACGUCGUGAGACAGUUCGGUCCCUAUCUGCCGUGGGCGCUGGAGAAUUGAGGGGGGCUGCUCCUAGUACGAGAGGACCGGAGUGGACGCAUCACUGGUGUUCGGGUUGUCAUGCCAAUGGCACUGCCCGGUAGCUAAAUGCGGAAGAGAUAAGUGCUGAAAGCAUCUAAGCACGAAACUUGCCCCGAGAUGAGUUCUCCCUGACUCCUUGAGAGUCCUGAAGGAACGUUGAAGACGACGACGUUGAUAGGCCGGGUGUGUAAGCGCAGCGAUGCGUUGAGCUAACCGGUACUAAUGAACCGUGAGGCUUAACCUU
Molecule: ribosomal RNA, 2902 nt
Filed under: Escherichia coli 3-073-06_S4_C2
Lineage: Bacteria; Pseudomonadati; Pseudomonadota; Gammaproteobacteria; Enterobacterales; Enterobacteriaceae
Description: bacterial LSU rRNA
Rfam family: Bacterial large subunit ribosomal RNA
Source: RNAcentral